This 468-nucleotide ribosomal RNA is filed under the name uncultured bacterium. Its description in RNAcentral is "partial 16S ribosomal RNA". It matches the Rfam family "Bacterial small subunit ribosomal RNA", at positions 28 to 507 of the family's 1533-position model. The record is from RNAcentral.
GACGAACGCUGGCGGCGUGCUUAACACAUGCAAGUCGAACGGAAAGGCCCUGCUUUUGUGGGGUGCUCGAGUGGCGAACGGGUGAGUAACACGAGUGUAACCUGCCCUUGACUUUGGGAUAACUUCAGGUAACUGGGGCUACUACCAGAUAGGAGCUGCUGCUGCAUGGUGGGGGUGGGAACUUUUCGGCGGUCGGGGAUGGAUGAGCGGCUUAACAGCUUGUUGGUGGGGUAGUUGCUGACCAAGGCUGUGACGGGUAGGCGGCAUGGGAGGGUGACCGGCGACAAUAGUACUGAGAGACGGCGCAGACUCGUACGGGAGGCAGCAGUGGGGAGUAUUGCACAGUGGGCGGGAGCGUGAUGCGGAGGCGCUGCGUGCGGGAAGACGGCCUGCUGGGUGUAAACCGCUGUCGCCUGUGACGAAGCGUGAGUGACGGUAAUGGGUAAAGAAGCACCGGCUAACUACGUG